This 247-nucleotide ribosomal RNA is filed under the name uncultured bacterium. Its description in RNAcentral is "partial small subunit ribosomal RNA". It matches the Rfam family "Bacterial small subunit ribosomal RNA", at positions 26 to 285 of the family's 1533-position model. The record is from RNAcentral.
AGGAUGAACGCUGGCGGCGUGCUUAACACAUGCAAGUCGAACGAGAAAGUGGGAGCAAUCCCAUGAGUAAAGUGGCGCACGGGUGAGUAACACGUGACUAACCUACCCUUGAGUGGGGGAUAACCUAGGGAAACCUGGGCUAAUACCGCAUAAUACCUACGGGUCAAAGGAGCAAUUCGCUUUAGGAGGGGGUCGCGGCAGAUUAGUUAGUUGGCGGGGUAAUGGCCCACCAAGACAGUGAUCUGUA